GGGUUGUGAGGUUAAGCGACUAAGCGUACACGGUGGAUGCCCUGGCAGUCAGAGGCGAUGAAGGACGUGCUAAUCUGCGAAAAGCGUCGGUAAGGUGAUAUGAACCGUUAUAGCCGGCGAUGUCCGAAUGGGGAAACCCAGUGCAAUUCGUUGCACUAUCGUUAACUGAAUACAUAGGUUAACGAGGCGAACCGGGGGAACUGAAACAUCUAAGUACCCCGAGGAAAAGAAAUCAACCGAGAUUCCCCCAGU
RNAcentral lists this ribosomal RNA (252 nucleotides) under Klebsiella pneumoniae. RNAcentral describes it as "partial 23S ribosomal RNA". It matches the Rfam family "Bacterial large subunit ribosomal RNA", at positions 1 to 244 of the family's 2925-position model. RNAcentral also lists the same sequence under 1 other name. The record is from RNAcentral. Lineage: Bacteria; Pseudomonadati; Pseudomonadota; Gammaproteobacteria; Enterobacterales; Enterobacteriaceae.